This 353-nucleotide long non-coding RNA is filed under the name Brassica napus (rape). RNAcentral describes it as "long non-coding RNA (BNAP_LNC013226)". The record is from RNAcentral. Lineage: Eukaryota; Viridiplantae; Streptophyta; Magnoliopsida; Brassicales; Brassicaceae.
CCUCAAUAUAUUUGGACAUACUUACAUACAUUAUUUAUAUAGGGUUUGGGGAUGCGUGCCAUCUAGGAUACAUUCACGCAAUUUUCAUACAUAUAUAUUAUUAUAUGAUAUAAUUGACGUUUUUUUUUUUUUUUUUGCUAAACGUUACGAGUAGUUUGGGUUAUUGUUUCUUAAACCUGGGUCACUGUUUGAUAAUACUGUGUGGCGGAUCUACUAACCGUCGUAUGUAUUUUGAGUUUUGUAUAGUUAAUUAAUUAUGUGGAUUACUAUUUUACAUUUAGAGCUGAAUCUAACGAUCUAGAUUUAAUUGACAUAUAAACAUAAAACAGCUUGUUAGUAAAAAAACAUAAAUC